GUUUAACGGAUAUUUCAAUCACAGGGUUUUCAGACCGGGAACAAACAGGAAGCGGCUGAAUUCAGAGAUCUUAAGUUUAUAUAUAUAUAUAAAACAUAGUACCAAUCUUUCAAAUGGGGGUAAAAUACAAAGGUGAAUAACGCUUAAAAAGUGGAUUAAACGACCGCGUUUUUCGAAAUGUCUCCGGGUUUGAACACGUAUGUAGCUUUUUAGCUUUUUAGGUUCCUUCCAUUUCCGCGUACACUUGAGUUUCCCUUAUCGACCCUCAGCAACUUCUGAACACAGGACGUCCUAAUUAUCCUUCGUCAUUUUAUUCUUCAUCUUCUCGUCGUUUUUAAGAAGCUUGAUUGACGGACGUCGGCCCCACCCACUUUAGCAUGGACGGUGAAGACGCCCACAAUGGGCGUGCGUUGUCUGGAGCUCAGUGUUCUCCUCUAGCCAGAAAUAUAAUAGGAGCAGAGGAUGAAGAGUUUGAGAAUGACCUGGACCCGACAGUGGACGAUCAGUGCAGUCAUUUCAACAGUAUCGAAUUGUUGAAAAGCAAACCCACCCAUCUGCUGGUCUUCCUCCAUCACGUCAUCCUCCAGUUUGACUGUGCUCCUCUGUUGUCCUACCUGCAUGCUGACCUCUUCAGGAACCUCAGUACCAAAGAGACCAAGAAACACUUUGUGGACUUCUAUAACAAUUUCUUGGAUAAAGGAGCAAUUCUCAGAGUAGCAGUACCACAUCAUAUAGCAUACGAGUUGGACCGUACCCGUCCAGACCUCAUCAGUGAGGACCUGCAGAAGCGAUUCGUUCAGGAAAUACAGAACAAUCAAACCAUGGAGGUCCUGCGACAGCUUGAAGACUUCAGGAAGAAAAGGAGGAUGGGAAUGACCCCGAAUGAACUUGAGCUGAGUGAGGUCGAGAAUCACUAUCCAACAGACCGUGUUCCCAGAGAAAUGAAGGAGAAAGCAGUGGCUGAGAGACUUCUAGAGAAGUUGACUGAAUCCAACCCUGCAAUUGUUGCAGAUGAAGAUAAAUGUUCUGCCAUCUUUGGUGCAGUUGGUUUUUACAUGAAGCAGCUGGGAGUGAAGAGCAGACCACCAGACAGCAAGAAGGGCAAAGGAUUUUUCAGGAGGAAGGUUCCAAAGAAGGAAGACAAGUCCAAGGUCCUCAGUAUCUUGAGGAUCGGCGGUAGCAGCAAUGAGGUCAAAAUUAAAUUGGACAACGAAGGCGAUAAGGACAGGAGUAAUGACCGGAGGAAUACUGCGAUCACCUUAGUACAUCGUGGCUCUACUACAGAUGGAAGUGUAUUACCCGGCCCGGUUCGGAAACCUGCCGCGUCAGUACCUAUCAUCGCUCAUGGACCAGAGCCCAGUGAAGUGACGCACAGCAACAUUAUAGUUACCCCCAGUCCUGAAGUUUCCCAGCCUGAGACAGGUCAGACCAUCAGUCGUACAGAGCAGUCUGUGUCCGAUGGUGGAGACGUAUCUCCUGCGUGCCCCAAUGUCGAUAUUGUCUGGGAGCCUCCAGCUGUGACCGACGUCCCUGUAGAAGAGAGCCAUGAAAAGGACAGACGGAAGACAAGGAGUGUGCGUCGCAGCGAGAGUCUGUGUGUGGAACGCUGCCACUCUCGCCGAGGUGGCUCUACUCGGGCUAAACAAUCUCGUUCCCGUAGCGAUGUGGACCUUCAGUCAACUUCCACUUCCCAACCCCCUUCACCUUUUCCCCAGCCUGCCAGAUUAGGGGAUUCACCAGUAAUGCCAGUCGAUGGCCCUUUUAAAGGCAGUGGCUCCUUUACUCAGCAAGAGGAAGUGGAGCCCCGGCUCCUGGAAUUAGAGCAGGAUCCACCCAACUGGAGAGAGCUUUCCUCCAGUGAGACCCUGAGUAAACUCACUAAGAAGGAGACAAAGAGGCAGGAAGUCAUCAACGAGUUGUUUGCAACAGAGCAUGCUCAUGUGCGCAUGCUGAGUGUACUGCAGACCGUGUUUUCUCGUCCACUGGAAAGAGAGGGACUCAUGGAACCUACCGAGCUGGCUGCGGUCUUCCCUAGUUUGGAUGAGAUUCUGGACAUGCACUAUGCUUUCUAUGAGAAUCUGAAGAAACUACGCCAAGAUGAUGAUUAUGUGGUUAAACAAAUCAGCACUCUGCUGCUGAACAGAUUUAAUGGCUCAGAGGGCGAAUGGUUCCAGAAGCUCACAGCUCGUUUCUGUAGUCGUCAGUCAUGGACUCUGGUUCAAAUCAAGAACAAGCAGAAGAAAGAUCCGCGCUUUAAUGCCUUCAUACUGGAGGCAGAGAGUAAGCCACAGUGCAGAAGAUUACAGCUGAAGGACAUCAUCCCCAUCGAGAUGCAGAGACUAACCAAGUACCCGCUGCUGUUGGAAAACAUUGCCAAGAGUACAGAAGAUAAUUUGGAGAAGGAAUAUAUCCAACAAGCUGCUGAAUGCUGUCGAAAGAUCCUAAACCAUGUCAAUGAGGAGGUGAAAUACAUGGAGAAUCUUCUGACUUUAAGGGACUACCAGCGCAGGUUGGACACUUCAGGGCUGAAGCCCAGCAAUGAGCUCUACUCAGAGUACAGGGGUAUUGACCUGACAACAAGAUCUAUGGUUUAUGAGGGGCCACUUACAUGGAGGGUGACUAAGGAAAAAGCUCUAGAUGUGCAGGGUGUGUUGCUGGGAGACAUGUUGGUCCUUCUGCAGAAACAAGACGAUAAGAUGCUCUUGAAAUGCCAAAGUAAGAGUAACAUUGCUGCCCAGGAGGGCAAACAAAUGCUCAGCCCCAUCAUAAAGCUGGAAUCGGCUUUCCUGCGAGAUGUAGCUACAGAUCGGAAGGCCUUCUAUGUUAUCUUCACCUGGGAGAGUGGAGCUCAGAUCUAUGAACUCGUGGCCCAGUCUGUUGCGGAACGAAAAAUAUGGACAGAUUUGAUAAAGUCAACAGCGGAUGACUUGAAAAAGAGCGCUGGUCAUACGCUGGAUAGGAUGAGGCUUGGCAGCGUGCCAAGUAACAGCUCUGCGCUGGGAUAUACUAACUUACUGAACCCCCCACUCAGCCCUACUGACAAUGGAACAGAUGUACUGAAAAACUCAGGUGGUCAAUAUAAGGACAGCCUUACUGAUGAAAAGUUCAGGCACACUCAGCCUUCACUGAUUGACUGCUUAACUGCCAAAGGAUUUGACCUACUGGCUUACAGCAGUGUUCGUCCCGAGCGCUCAGGAAGUGUGGCUUUGGAUGAAGUAAUGUCAUUGAAGACACUGUUACUCGGAAGUACCGGUCAGUCCUCGAAUGUCGAGCCUGAAGGAGAGAGCGGAGGAGAGUCAGCAAAGCAGGAGAAUGAUGACAGUCAAUCACAAGUUGAAGAGCACAAUAUAGAGUCACAGGAUGAAAAGGCAAAGGGAGAAGAGCAGAAAGCAGUAAUUGCUCCACUAGUGCUUUCUGAGGAGCAGAGAGAGGAGAUCAGCAGUAAACUGGAGAGUCUGGAAGACCAAGUGAAGAGACUACAGAAUGUGGAGGACGAGUAUCACAGGCUACAGGAAACCCUUGCUAAGUUUACUAUUCAAAGAGGCAACUACAACUGAGGAUCAUUCCAACCUGCUGGUCACAAGAGAUUAUCUAAAGCCCCAAGCUGAUGAUGUGGUGAAAGAGUCGCUUAAAGAAUUGAGAGAGAGAGAGAGAGAGAGAGAGAGAGAGAGAGAGAGAGAGUGUGUGUGUGUGUGUGUGUGUGUGUGUGUGUGUGUGUGUGUGUGUGUGUGUGUGUGUGUGUGUGUGUGUGUGUGUGUUUUAGUUAUGCAGAACUAUUGGCCCCAAAUGAAGAUGGUGAAAAUAGAAAAUGUGUACUCAUGAAAUAACAGGUCUUGAGCACACACAAAACAAAGAAAAGGGUUGAAGGGGAUCGACAUCUGCUGAUUCUGUAUUUGAUUUAAAGUGUGAAGAUGUUUGUGUAAAAAUGGAGUUUUCUCUCUAAGCCACAGCCAUGUUUCUAUCAUAGUGCAUCAGUUACAGCUUAGCUCUGGUCACAUGGCCACUGUAGAGCUAUUCUGCCUUUAGCACGGUGGGGUGAGUGAGUCAGGAUAUGUUCAUGUGAGUCACUUAGAUGAGUUCGAGUCCUCGACAAUCUGCUCUUUAGAAGAACUCGGCUGUAUUUUCACGUCUAUGCUUAAUUGUCAGAGCAGAUAUGAAGUUGGGAAGUACUUUCUAAAGAGUAGCUUCCUUACCUUCACACGCAUCAGGUUUUAGACCAAAGAGAACCUAAUAAGCAGAUUUCUAGCAGUAAAUCUAAUAAAUAGAUCUGAUACGAAUUAUUUAGCUUUUACAUAUAUAACCAGAUGCAACGAUAAGCAUGGAGAACAAGAUUCAAAUGCACUUACUUCCCUUUCUUAUGUUCUAUGCACCUAUAUAAAUAGUGAUAAAUAGAUUAUACAAGUAAGAAAACAUCAGCCACGAGACUCCUUCAGGAAAAAUAAAAUAAUAAUAAUAAUAAUUUCUCCUAUUUGAGACCACCCUAUUGAGGGAUUAUAGGUUUGCUAAAUAUAAAAAUUAUUUUAGUGCUUUUUUUGUUUUGUUACUUCUCGCCUUCUGACAAAUCAGAAUCAAGAAUUCAACAGGGUAGAAAAAGGUAUACACAUUUAUCUCAGACUGUCUGUUUAUACAAAUAUCAUCUAGGCUGAUGUGGUGAAGAGCUCUGAAGUGGAUUAUUUUUUUGUAGCACACUUGUACCACAACGAUUCGCGAUGACAAUUUUUUAUUUAUUAAUGAACGUCACAAUUUUUAACUGUUUAUAGUUUGUUAUCGAACAUUUAUGAGAAAAGUGUUCCUGUUUUUUAUUCAUUGUUUUAGUAAUUAUAAACAGUCUUUCCCUCGGUAGCUUGCCUUUUUAAUUAAAAAAAAAUUAUAUAUAUAUAUUUUUUAAGUUAAUCAAACAAAAUAAUCUGUUAUCCCGACUCCAGAAAGCAGAACUUUCAAUGUCUACAAAUAAAAAAAACAAACUUCACCACAUGAACCAUUUGAUAUUUUUACUUGUUGAACAACACGUCAUUAUCUGUUUAUUAUUCCGAUCAGAUUAUGUCCCACAUCCCUAUGUACUGUAUGCCUGUGGUGUGAGCUGUCAAGAAACAAAGAAACAAUACAAGGACAUUGAUAGAAGUGAUUUAAACAUAUAUAUCAUUUGUAAUAUGUGAGUGUUGAAGCCUGAACCAUCGUCAGAGCUUGAUACAGUGCUGGGACAUUAUGUAUAUUGUUAAUCAUCACUUUCUGACAUAAAAUGGUUAAUUAAAUGUUAACAGUAACAGUGCUA
Tachysurus fulvidraco (yellow catfish) is the source of this 5272-nucleotide RNA transcript. It is a transcript of the gene named Rho guanine nucleotide exchange factor (GEF) 1b, with no coding region annotated. Lineage: Eukaryota; Metazoa; Chordata; Actinopteri; Siluriformes; Bagridae. The transcript has 34 exons. The record is from RefSeq and is a predicted model, not a curated record.